CACCGCCUGGGGAGUACGACCGCAAGGUUAAAACUCAAAUGAAUUGACGGGGACCCGCACAAGUAGUGGAGCAUGUGGUUUAAUUCGAAGAUACGCGCAGAACCUUACCAACACUUGACAUGUUCGUCGCGACUUUAAGAGAUUAAAGUUUUCGGUUCGGCCGGACGAAACACAGGUGCUGCAUGGCUGUCGUCAGCUCGUGUCGUGAGAUGUUGGGUUAAGUCCCGCAACGAGCGCAACCCUCACUUUUAGUUGCCAUCAUUUAGUUGGGCACUCUGAAAGAACUGCCAGUGAUAAGCUGGAGGAAGGUGGGGAUGACGUCAAGUCCUCAUGGCCCUUACGUGUUGGGCUACACACGUGCUACAAUGGUAUCUACAACAGGAAGCAAGACGGCAACGUUAAGCAAAUCCUAAAAAGAUACCUCAGUUCGGAUUGCACUCUGCAACUCGAGUGCAUGAAGCUGGAAUUACUAGUAAUCGUGGAUCAGCGCGCCACGGUGAAUGCGUUCCCGGGUCUUGUACACACCGCCCGUCACACCAUGGAAGUUGGUUACACCUUAAAGCAAAGCAUAAAACCUUUGACUACGGUACGAUCAGCGACUGGGGUGAAGUCGUAACAAGGUAGCCGUAGGGGAACCUGCGGCUGGAUCACCUCCCUUCUAAGGAAAUCGAAAAAUAUUAAAACAAUUAUUUUCGAUUUAAAAAAAAUCGGUAAUGUGACCGUCCUCAUUUCUCUUCUUUUAAUGUCUCUGAGUAUAAAGCAAGGGCCGGUAGCUCAGGUGGUUAGAGCGCACCCCUGAUAAGGGUGAGGUCGGAAGUUCGAGUCUUCCUCGGCCCACCAAUAUUAUGGGGGAUUAGCUCAGCUGGGAGAGCGCCUGAUUUGCAUUCAGGAGGUCAGCGGUUCGAUCCCGCUAUCCUCCACCAAAAAAUUUGAGACAUUUAGCUUUUUUAAAUAGUAAAUAUAAUUAAUAUCAAUAUCUAUAUCCGAUUAUUUUCGAAUAUUUUUAUGAAAAUAAUCACAACAAAAAUUUGAAUUUUACGCAGAAAGUUUUUUUCUG
RNAcentral lists this small RNA (1057 nucleotides) under uncultured Pelagibacterales bacterium. RNAcentral describes it as "bacterial SSU rRNA". The stretch from base 1 to 658 matches the Rfam family "Bacterial small subunit ribosomal RNA", at positions 867 to 1533 of the family's 1533-position model. Lineage: Bacteria; Pseudomonadati; Pseudomonadota; Alphaproteobacteria; Candidatus Pelagibacterales. The record is from RNAcentral.